GGUACAUCUUGGCAAUAAUUGGAUUGCAGAUGCUCUCCAACUCCUUCAUCUUGUCUUCAAAUUCAUCAGACUCAGCAAGCUGGUUGGCAUCGAGCCACUGGAUGGCCUGCUCAAUGGCCUCCUCAAUCUUCUUCCUGUCUGCCUCAGGCAGCUUGGAUGCAAUCUUCUCAUCCUUGAUGGUGUUCCUCAUGUUGUAUGCAUAGUUCUCCAAAGCAUUCUUUGCCUCUACCUUCUUCUUGUGGUCUUCGUCCUCAGACUUGUACUUCUCUGCUUCUUGAACCAUCUUCUCAAUCUCCUCCUUGGAGAGUCUACCCUUGUCGUUGGUGAUGGUGAUCUUGUUCUUUUGUCCAGUAGUCUUGUCCUCAGCAGAAACAUUCAAGAUACCAUUGGCAUCAACUUCGAAUGUGACCUCAAUUUGGGGGGUUCCCCUUGGAGCUGGAGGAAUUCCUGUAAGAUCAAACUUCCCGAGAUUCCUACAGUCCUUGGUAAGACUCCUUUCACCUUCAAAAACCUGAAUGGAGACAGUGGUCUGCUGGUCUUGGUAAGUGGUGAAGACCUGGGACUUCUUGGUUGGGAUAACGGUAUUUCUGGGGAUCAAUUUGGUCAUCACACCACCAACGGUUUCAAUACCAAGGGUGAGAGGAGCGACAUCCAGGAGAAGGAUAUCUUUAGUUUCAUCUCCACCCUCACCACUGAGGAUACCACCUUGAACAGCAGCACCAUAA
RNAcentral lists this unclassified non-coding RNA (725 nucleotides) under Hevea brasiliensis (rubber tree). Lineage: Eukaryota; Viridiplantae; Streptophyta; Magnoliopsida; Malpighiales; Euphorbiaceae. The record is from RNAcentral.